This 244-nucleotide ribosomal RNA is filed under the name uncultured Actinomycetales bacterium. RNAcentral's name for it is "partial 16S ribosomal RNA". It matches the Rfam family "Bacterial small subunit ribosomal RNA", at positions 89 to 334 of the family's 1533-position model. Lineage: Bacteria; Bacillati; Actinomycetota; Actinomycetes; Actinomycetales. The record is from RNAcentral.
GCUCGAGUGGCGAACGGGUGAGUAACACGUGAGUAACCUGCCCUUGACUUUGGGAUAACUUCAGGAAACUGGGGCUAAUACCGGAUAGGAGCUCCUGCUGCAUGGUGGGGGUUGGAAAGUUUCGGCGGUUGGGGAUGGAUUCGCGGCUUAUCAGCUUGUUGGUGGGGUAGUGGCUUACCAAGGCUUUGACGGGUAGCCGGCCUGAGAGGGUGACCGGCCACAUUGGGACUGAGAUACGGCCCAG